This 420-nucleotide unclassified non-coding RNA is filed under the name Hevea brasiliensis (rubber tree). Lineage: Eukaryota; Viridiplantae; Streptophyta; Magnoliopsida; Malpighiales; Euphorbiaceae. The record is from RNAcentral.
GGUUGCAAUGCUGUUUUGUCUCUUGAAUCCCGCUGCCACAUACGAAUCUGCAUAUAGCGGACAACAGUACUUGUGUAAUCAACUGUUCUCCUUUGGGUAAGCUUUCUCAUCCUUUUUGCACCAAAAUUGUCACCAUGAGCGUCGUAAGGAGGGAGAGGAGGCCCUAAGGCUGAGGAGGGGUGAUGAUAAUCCGCGGGAUUGAGAGUAGUUGAAGAGGCCGANAGCUGUCUCAUCAUCGGCGGAGGCGGCGGUGGACCCCUGAGGAAGUCCCCGCCCGGCUGCUGGUGUUGCUGCUGAGGAUCACCGUACAUCAUUUUUAUCACAGAAUCUUAAAAAUCCUAACCCUCAAAUCCAGAGAAAUUUAAAGGGGAAAAAAAAGUCAAUAAUGUUAAGGCAGAUUUAGUUGGUGGAUGAAAAACC